AACGUCUUAGUUGGAGAUCAGGAUUUGGACAGGAGAUUCUUUAAAUUCACUUCAUUCAUUUGUCGAUUGCUACUAUAGCUUUAGCAGAUAGGGGGUAUACUCUUUUCACGCCACUAUGGCAGGACAAGGGUCAACAACUUGAGAACCCCGCUGGGCGUUUUAUAAAGAUGCGAUGAUCACCCUGGUAUCAAGGUAUUACACCCAGGUUGAACUAUUGCUCUCGUAUCAUACACCGUAUUUACAGCUUGAUAUACACACGGGUUUGCCAACACCAUCUAUGGUUUCUGAAGUUGAAUGUGUUGUGCUGCUUCACUAUGGGGGACAUUAAUAUUUAAUUGUCAGAGGUGAAAUUCUUGGAUUUAUGAAAGAUUAACUUCUGCGAAAGCAUUUGUCAAGGAUGUUUUCGUUAAUCAAGAACGAAAGUUAGGGGAUCGAAGACGAUCAGAUACCGUCGUAGUCUUAACCAUAAACUAUGCCGACUAGGGAUUGGUGGCAGUUAAUUAUAUGACUCCAUCAGCACUUU
This 523-nucleotide non-coding RNA is filed under the name Sphaeroforma arctica JP610. Its description in RNAcentral is "Eukaryotic small subunit ribosomal RNA". It matches the Rfam family "Eukaryotic small subunit ribosomal RNA", at positions 623 to 1089 of the family's 1831-position model. The record is from Rfam by way of RNAcentral. Lineage: Eukaryota; Ichthyosporea; Ichthyophonida.